GCACUCCCCUUAAUAACGACGGACUUCACCUUUGGGUGAUUAAUGAUUAAGGCAUUGCCAUUUAUUUUGUGGAAUCUUACCAUGUUUUUAU
This is a non-coding RNA of Strongylocentrotus purpuratus (purple sea urchin), 91 nucleotides long. NCBI's taxonomy places the organism in Eukaryota, Metazoa, Echinodermata, Echinoidea, Camarodonta, Strongylocentrotidae. The record is from Rfam.